Carcharodon carcharias (great white shark) is the source of this 149-nucleotide long non-coding RNA. RefSeq lists it as uncharacterized. The transcript is spliced from 3 exons. NCBI's taxonomy places the organism in Eukaryota, Metazoa, Chordata, Chondrichthyes, Lamniformes, Lamnidae. The record is from RefSeq and is a predicted model, not a curated record.
UCAAAAAGUGACAUCAGCACGAAGGGCUGGUUCAAGAUUCAACUCACCAGAGGGAUGAUUUGAAUUUAAAAAAACAGCGAAUUCUUAUAUGGGAUGUGCCGCCUGAAUGGGAAGUGAAAACAGAUUCAAAAAUUACAAGUUUCCUGCAC